GGGCGGUUAGCUCAGGGGUGAGAGCGCCUGUCUUACACACAGGAGGUCAGAGGUUCAAAUCCUCUACCGCCCA
This 73-nucleotide transfer RNA is filed under the name Chloroflexota bacterium. Its description in RNAcentral is "Chloroflexi bacterium (hot springs metagenome) tRNA-Val". It matches the Rfam family "tRNA". From Rfam's summary of the family: Transfer RNA (tRNA) molecules are approximately 80 nucleotides in length. Their secondary structure includes four short double-helical elements and three loops (D, anti-codon, and T loops). The record is from RNAcentral. Lineage: Bacteria; Bacillati; Chloroflexota.